CCUACGGGAGGCAGCAGUGAGGAAUAUUGGUCAAUGGACGAGAGUCUGACCCAGCCAAGUCGCGUGAAGGAUGACUGCCCUAUGGGUUGUACACUUCUUUUAUAUGGGAAUAAAAUGUUCCACGUGUGGGAUUUUGUAUGUACCAUAUGAAUAAGGAACGGCUAACUCCGUGCCAGCAGCCGCGGUAAUACGGAGGCUCAGAGCGUUAGCCGGAUUUAGUGGGUUUAAAGGGAGCGUAGGUGGAUUGUUAAGUCAGUUGUGAAAUUUUGGGGCUCAACCGUAAAAGUGCAGUUGAAACUGGCAGGCGUGAGUACAGUAGAGGUAGGUGGAAUUCGAGGUGUAGCGGUGAAAUGCGUAGAUAUCACGAGGAACUCCGGUGGCGAAGGCAGCUCACUGGACUGCAACUGACACUGAGGCUCGAAAGUGUGGGUAUCAAACAGGAUUAGAUACCCCAGUAGUC
Molecule: ribosomal RNA, 460 nt
Filed under: uncultured bacterium
Lineage: Bacteria
Description: partial 16S ribosomal RNA
Rfam family: Bacterial small subunit ribosomal RNA
Source: RNAcentral